Molecule: unclassified non-coding RNA, 240 nt
Filed under: soil metagenome
Description: partial contains 5.8S ribosomal RNA, internal transcribed spacer 2, and large subunit ribosomal RNA
Source: RNAcentral
AACAUCGCGCACCUGCGGGAACCUGCGGAGGGAUCAUUACCAAUUUUAUAUUAUUAGUUUGCCUGUGGCUUCUGUCACCGGUAUUAACUACUAUGUAAACGUUGAACUAGAUCAAUUGGUGUGGAUUGCUUGGGAAUGGACGAAGCGAUGAGCCUCUUCCGGACAGGCAAGCCCCACACUGAUAACCUUUUUCAUAUCAUUUACUCGUACAUAUACUACAAACAACAACAAAGACAAAAG